GAUCCAGCCAUGCCGCGUGUGUGAAGAAGGCCCUCGGGUUGUAAAGCACUUUCAGCGAGGAAGAACGCCUAGCGGUUAAUACCCGCUAGGAAAGACAUCACUCGCAGAAGAAGCACCGGCUAACUCCGUGCCAGCAGCCGCGGUAAUACGGAGGGUGCAAGCGUUAAUCGGAAUUACUGGGCGUAAAGCGCGCGUAGGUGGCUUGAUAAGCCGGUUGUGAAAGCCCCGGGCUCAACCUGGGAACGGCAUCCGGAACUGUCAAGCUAGAGUGCAGGAGAGGAAGGUAGAAUUCCCGGUGUAGCGGUGAAAUGCGUAGAGAUCGGGAGGAAUACCAGUGGCGAAGGCGGCCUUCUGGACUGACACUGACACUGAGGUGCGAAAGCGUGGGUAGCAAACAGGAUUAGAUACCCUGGUAGUCCACGCCGUAAACGAUGUCGACCAGCCGUUGGGUGCCUAGCGCACUUUGUGGCGAAGUUAACGCGAUAAGUCGACCGCCUGGGGAGUACGGCCGCAAGGUUAAAACUCAAAUGAAUUGACGGGGGCCCGCACAAGCGGUGGAGCAUGUGGUUU
RNAcentral lists this ribosomal RNA (570 nucleotides) under Halomonas sp. Its description in RNAcentral is "bacterial SSU rRNA". It matches the Rfam family "Bacterial small subunit ribosomal RNA", at positions 385 to 947 of the family's 1533-position model. The record is from RNAcentral. Lineage: Bacteria; Pseudomonadati; Pseudomonadota; Gammaproteobacteria; Oceanospirillales; Halomonadaceae.